AUUUGAUAGUACCUUACUACAUGGAUACCUGUGGUAAUUCUAGAGCUAAUACAUGCUGAAAACCUCGACUUCGGAAGGGGUGUAUUUAUUAGAUAAAAAACCAAUGCCCUUCGGGGCUCCUUGGUGAAUCAUAAUAACUUAACGAAUCGCAUGGCCUUGCGCCGGCGAUGGUUCAUUCAAAUUUCUGCCCUAUCAACUUUCGAUGGUAGGAUAGUGGCCUACCAUGGUGGCAACGGGUAACGGGGAAUUAGGGUUCGAUUCCGGAGAGGGAGCCUGAGAAACGGCUACCACAUCCAAGGAAGGCAGCAGGCGCGCAAAUUACCCAAUCCCGACACGGGGAGGUAGUGACAAUAAAUACUGAUACGGGGCUCUUUUGGGUCUCGUAAUUGGAAUGAGUACAAUCUAAAUCCCUUAACGAGGAACAAUUGGAGGGCAAGUCUGGUGCCAGCAGCCGCGGUAAUUCCAGCUCCAAUAGCGUAUAUUAAAGUUGUUGCAGUUAAAAAGCUCGUAGUUGAACCUUGGGUCUGGCUGGCCGGUCCGCCUCACCGCGAGUACUGGUCCGGCUGGACCUUUCCUUCUGGGGAAUCUCAUGGCCUUCACUGGCUGUGGGGGGAACCAGGACUUUUACUGUGAAAAAAUUAGAGUGUUCAAAGCAGGCCUUUGCUCGAAUACAUUAGCAUGGAAUAAUAGAAUAGGACGUGCGGUUCUAUUUUGUUGGUUUCUAGGACCGCCGUAAUGAUUAAUAGGGAUAGUCGGGGGCGUCAGUAUUCAGCUGUCAGAGGUGAAAUUCUUGGAUUUGCUGAAGACUAACUACUGCGAAAGCAUUCGCCAAGGAUGUUUUCAUUAAUC
This 849-nucleotide ribosomal RNA is filed under the name Aspergillus niger. Its description in RNAcentral is "SSU rRNA". It matches the Rfam family "Eukaryotic small subunit ribosomal RNA", at positions 119 to 978 of the family's 1831-position model. Lineage: Eukaryota; Fungi; Ascomycota; Eurotiomycetes; Eurotiales; Aspergillaceae. The record is from RNAcentral.